This 253-nucleotide ribosomal RNA is filed under the name uncultured bacterium. Its description in RNAcentral is "partial 16S ribosomal RNA". It matches the Rfam family "Bacterial small subunit ribosomal RNA", at positions 524 to 776 of the family's 1533-position model. The record is from RNAcentral.
UACGAAGGGUGCAAACGUUGCUCGGAAUUAUUGGGCGUAAGGCGCACGUAGGCGGCCUUGUAAGUCGGAUGUGAAAUCCCUCGGCUUAACCGAGGACGUGCAUCCGAAACUGUGAGGCUCGAGUAUGGAAGAGGGUCGCAGAAUUCCCGGUGUAGAGGUGAAAUUCGUAGAUAUCGGGAGGAAUACCAGUGGCGAAGGCGGCGACCUGGGCCAAUACUGACGCUGAGGUGCGAAAGCGUGGGGAGCAAACAGG